RNAcentral lists this small RNA (189 nucleotides) under Arabidopsis thaliana (thale cress). Its description in RNAcentral is "ATSL283280". The record is from RNAcentral. Lineage: Eukaryota; Viridiplantae; Streptophyta; Magnoliopsida; Brassicales; Brassicaceae.
UUACCUCCAACUCGAAUUCAACACAAGGAAUCCAUUUGUUGCGGAGAAGGUAGUCAACUUCCUUAGCCAAUUCGACGUCAGUAAGGUCAGGGAGGUAAGAUAGAGUCUCAAACUUCUUCUUUCCGAUUGGUGGCCACACCUAUAAUUCCCAAUUCCCAAUUAUUCUUAAGUAUUGUUCAGUUGCACUAA